UGUUCAACUCCCACUCCUCUCCCCUGGGAACUAAUCUUUUCAUUGCCUCUGUAGUUUUUAAGUCUUUGAUUUUCCAACUAUAGGCAUGCAUUAAGUUGAUUAAGAAAAAUGCAGUGGCUUUCACCUAAAACACGGACAUCUGGCUUCUUUCGAAAUACCAGCUCAGGGCUGUCACCGUGCCUGGGAGCUUUGGAUGAAGCUCCAUAGCUGGGCAUCCUUUUGGAUAAGAGUUGUCCUUCUGAGUUUGCUAUUGCCCCAAACAGUAACUGUAUUGCAACCAACCACUCCACAUGGACAUCAGUUUCAUUUAAAAAACGUGUCAAGAACAAGAACCACUAUGGGGAAGACAUCUAAAGGUACAUGCCCGGACGUGGAAUUGCUCUUGGGAUCACAGGGUGAUUGCGUGCUUCCUUUUUUGAGGACCCACCGUGUUGUUUUCCACAGUGGCUGCACCAUUUACCUUCCCGCCUACAGUGUGCAAAUCAAGAAUCUGUGUUCACUUAACUUUGUAUUCCUACCGCCUGGAACUGUACCUGUCGUCUGGACAUGGAGUGCUCAGAAAGUGUCUGUGGGGCGCAUGCACGAGCAAGAAAGGCCUCGCUGAGAAUCCAGUGGGCUCGAGGGGGUGAGCUGUGUCGGCUUCAGCAGGAACAAGACAGGGGCAGGAGCGGGAGAGUCUGGGCUCCGUGGUCAACAGGAAGCUCGACCAACGGCUGCCCAGGGGGACCCGGUCUUGGACGCCGAAUUAACUCAUUUUCCAGCUCAGACACCAAGAGUGUCCCUUUGUCAGAGGUCUCUGUCUAUAACUUCUAAAACUAUUUUAGCUCUUUCAGUGGGCAGGCAGGACGAAUUCUUCACGUUAAAAAAAAAAAAAAAAC
This is a long non-coding RNA of Panthera uncia (snow leopard), 878 nucleotides long. RefSeq lists it as uncharacterized. The record is from RefSeq and is a predicted model, not a curated record. NCBI's taxonomy places the organism in Eukaryota, Metazoa, Chordata, Mammalia, Carnivora, Felidae. The transcript has 3 exons.